UGGGGAAUCUUGCACAAUGGGCGCAAGCCUGAUGCAGCAACGCCGCGUGCGGGAAGACGGCCCUAGGGUUGUAAACCGCUUUCAGGAGGGAAGAAAAUGACGGUACCUCCAGAAGAAGGUGCGGCCAACUACGUGCCAGCAGCCGCGUGACACGUAGGCACCAAGCGUUAUCCGGAUUUAUUGGGCGUAAAGAGCUCGUAGGCGGUUCGGUAAGUCGGGUGUGAAAAUCCAAGGCUCAACCUUGGGACGCCACCCGAUACUGCUGUGACUCGAGUGCAGUAGGGGAGCAGGGAAUUCCUGGUGUAGCGGUGAAAUGCGCAGAUAUCAGGAGGAACACCAGUGGCGAAGGCGCUGCUCUGGGCUGUAACUGACGCUGAGGAGCGAAAGCAUGGGUAGCAAAACAGGAUUAGAUACCCUGGUAGUCCAUGCCGUAAACGUUGGGCACUAGGUGUGGGUCUCAACCAACGAGAUCCGCGCCGUCGCUAACGCAUUAAGUGCCCCGCCUGGGGAGUACGGUCGCAAGACUAAAACUCAAAGGAAUUGA
RNAcentral lists this ribosomal RNA (544 nucleotides) under uncultured bacterium. RNAcentral's name for it is "bacterial SSU rRNA". It matches the Rfam family "Bacterial small subunit ribosomal RNA", at positions 355 to 913 of the family's 1533-position model. The record is from RNAcentral.